This 2294-nucleotide ribosomal RNA is filed under the name Escherichia coli. Its description in RNAcentral is "partial 23S ribosomal RNA". It matches the Rfam family "Bacterial large subunit ribosomal RNA", at positions 418 to 2697 of the family's 2925-position model. The record is from RNAcentral. Lineage: Bacteria; Pseudomonadati; Pseudomonadota; Gammaproteobacteria; Enterobacterales; Enterobacteriaceae.
CGGGACACGUGGUAUCCUGUCUGAAUAUGGGGGGACCAUCCUCCAAGGCUAAAUACUCCUGACUGACCGAUAGUGAACCAGUACCGUGAGGGAAAGGCGAAAAGAACCCCGGCGAGGGGAGUGAAAAAGAACCUGAAACCGUGUACGUACAAGCAGUGGGAGCACGCUUAGGCGUGUGACUGCGUACCUUUUGUAUAAUGGGUCAGCGACUUAUAUUCUGUAGCAAGGUUAACCGAAUAGGGGAGCCGAAGGGAAACCGAGUCUUAACUGGGCGUUAAGUUGCAGGGUAUAGACCCGAAACCCGGUGAUCUAGCCAUGGGCAGGUUGAAGGUUGGGUAACACUAACUGGAGGACCGAACCGACUAAUGUUGAAAAAUUAGCGGAUGACUUGUGGCUGGGGGUGAAAGGCCAAUCAAACCGGGAGAUAGCUGGUUCUCCCCGAAAGCUAUUUAGGUAGCGCCUCGUGAAUUCAUCUCCGGGGGUAGAGCACUGUUUCGGCAAGGGGGUCAUCCCGACUUACCAACCCGAUGCAAACUGCGAAUACCGGAGAAUGUUAUCACGGGAGACACACGGCGGGUGCUAACGUCCGUCGUGAAGAGGGAAACAACCCAGACCGCCAGCUAAGGUCCCAAAGUCAUGGUUAAGUGGGAAACGAUGUGGGAAGGCCCAGACAGCCAGGAUGUUGGCUUAGAAGCAGCCAUCAUUUAAAGAAAGCGUAAUAGCUCACUGGUCGAGUCGGCCUGCGCGGAAGAUGUAACGGGGCUAAACCAUGCACCGAAGCUGCGGCAGCGACGCUGAUGCGUUGUUGGGUAGGGGAGCGUUCUGUAAGCCUGUGAAGGUGUGCUGUGAGGCAUGCUGGAGGUAUCAGAAGUGCGAAUGCUGACAUAAGUAACGAUAAAGCGGGUGAAAAGCCCGCUCGCCGGAAGACCAAGGGUUCCUGUCCAACGUUAAUCGGGGCAGGGUGAGUCGACCCCUAAGGCGAGGCCGAAAGGCGUAGUCGAUGGGAAACAGGUUAAUAUUCCUGUACUUGGUGUUACUGCGAAGGGGGGACGGAGAAGGCUAUGUUGGCCGGGCGACGGUUGUCCCGGUUUAAGCGUGUAGGCUGGUUUUCCAGGCAAAUCCGGAAAAUCAAGGCUGAGGCGUGAUGACGAGGCACUACGGUGCUGAAGCAACAAAUGCCCUGCUUCCAGGAAAAGCCUCUAAGCAUCAGGUAACAUCAAAUCGUACCCCAAACCGACACAGGUGGUCAGGUAGAGAAUACCAAGGCGCUUGAGAGAACUCGGGUGAAGGAACUAGGCAAAAUGGUGCCGUAACUUCGGGAGAAGGCACGCUGAUAUGUAGGUGAAGCGACUUGCUCGUGGAGCUGAAAUCAGUCGAAGAUACCAGCUGGCUGCAACUGUUUAUUAAAAACACAGCACUGUGCAAACACGAAAGUGGACGUAUACGGUGUGACGCCUGCCCGGUGCCGGAAGGUUAAUUGAUGGGGUCAGCGCAAGCGAAGCUCUUGAUCGAAGCCCCGGUAAACGGCGGCCGUAACUAUAACGGUCCUAAGGUAGCGAAAUUCCUUGUCGGGUAAGUUCCGACCUGCACGAAUGGCGUAAUGAUGGCCAGGCUGUCUCCACCCGAGACUCAGUGAAAUUGAACUCGCUGUGAAGAUGCAGUGUACCCGCGGCAAGACGGAAAGACCCCGUGAACCUUUACUAUAGCUUGACACUGAACAUUGAGCCUUGAUGUGUAGGAUAGGUGGGAGGCUUUGAAGUGUGGACGCCAGUCUGCAUGGAGCCGGCCUUGAAAUACCACCCUUUAAUGUUUGAUGUUCUAACGUUGACCCGUGAUCCGGGUUGCGGACAGUGUCUGGUGGGUAGUUUGACUGGGGCGGUCUCCUCCUAAAGAGUAACGGAGGAGCACGAAGGUUGGCUAAUCCUGGUCGGACAUCAGGAGGUUAGUGCAAUGGCAUAAGCCAGCUUGACUGCGAGCGUGACGGCGCGAGCAGGUGCGAAAGCAGGUCAUAGUGAUCCGGUGGUUCUGAAUGGAAGGGCCAUCGCUCAACGGAUAAAAGGUACUCCGGGGAUAACAGGCUGAUACCGCCCAAGAGUUCAUAUCGACGGCGGUGUUUGGCACCUCGAUGUCGGCUCAUCACAUCCUGGGGCUGAAGUAGGUCCCAAGGGUAUGGCUGUUCGCCAUUUAAAGUGGUACGCGAGCUGGGUUUAGAACGUCGUGAGACAGUUCGGUCCCUAUCUGCCGUGGGCGCUGGAGAACUGAGGGGGGCUGCUCCUAGUACGAGAGGACCGGAG